Molecule: ribosomal RNA, 460 nt
Filed under: uncultured bacterium
Lineage: Bacteria
Description: partial 16S ribosomal RNA
Rfam family: Bacterial small subunit ribosomal RNA
Source: RNAcentral
CCUACGGGAGGCAGCAGUGAGGAAUAUUGGUCAAUGGGCGCGAGCCUGAACCAGCAAAGCCGCGUGAGGGAUGACGGCCCUACGGGCUGUAAACCUCUUCUGCCGGGGAGCAACGGGCGCCACGUGUGGCGCCACUGAGAGUACCCGGAGACAACGCAUCGGCUAACUCGGUGCCAGCAGCCGCGGUAAUCCGGAGGAUGCGGGGGUUAUCCGGAUUUAUUGGGUUAAAAGGGUGCGUAAGCGGAACGUUCAGUCAGUGGUCAAAUUGAGGGGCUCAACCCCUUCCCGCCAUUGAAACUGGCGCUCUUGAGUAGAAGAGAAGUAUGCGGAAUGCGUGGUGUAGCGGUGAAAUGCAUAGAUAUCACGCAGAACCCCGGUUGCGAAGGCAGCAUGCCGGCUUCCGACUGACGCUGAAGCACGAAGGCGUGGGGAUCGAACAGGAUUAGAUACCCUGGUAGUC